GAUGAACGCUGGCGGCGUGCCUAAUACAUGCAAGUCGAGCGAACAGACGAGGAGCUUGCUCCUCUGACGUUAGCGGCGGACGGGUGAGUAACACGUGGAUAACCUACCUAUAAGACUGGGAUAACUUCGGGAAACCGGAGCUAAUACCGGAUAAUAUAUUGAACCGCAUGGUUCAAUAGUGAAAGACGGUUUUGCUGUCACUUAUAGAUGGAUCCGCGCCGCAUUAGCUAGUUGGUAAGGUAACGGCUUACCAAGGCAACGAUGCAUAGCCGACCUGAGAGGGUGAUCGGCCACACUGGAACUGAGACACGGUCCAGACUCCUACGGGAGGCAGCAGUAGGGAAUCUUCCGCAAUGGGCGAAAGCCUGACGGAGCAACGCCGCGUGAGUGAUGAAGGUCUUCGGAUCGUAAAACUCUGCUAUUAGGGAAGAACAAAUGUGUAAGUAACUAUGCACGUCUUGACGGUACCUAAUCAGAAAGCCACGGCUAACUACGUG
This 497-nucleotide ribosomal RNA is filed under the name uncultured bacterium. RNAcentral's name for it is "partial 16S ribosomal RNA". It matches the Rfam family "Bacterial small subunit ribosomal RNA", at positions 28 to 507 of the family's 1533-position model. The record is from RNAcentral.